RNAcentral lists this ribosomal RNA (254 nucleotides) under uncultured bacterium. Its description in RNAcentral is "partial 16S ribosomal RNA". It matches the Rfam family "Bacterial small subunit ribosomal RNA", at positions 524 to 776 of the family's 1533-position model. The record is from RNAcentral.
UACGAAGGGGGCUAGCGUUGUUCGGAAUCACUGGGCGUAAAGGGCGCGUAGGCGGCCUCCGCAAGUCAGUUGUGAAAUCUCCGAGCUUAACUCGGAAAGGUCAACUGAUACUGCGGGGCUAGAGUGCGGAAGGGGCAACUGGAAUUCUUGGUGUAGCGGUGAAAUGCGUAGAUAUCAAGAGGAACACCUGCGGCGAAGGCGGGUUGCUGGGCCGACACUGACGCUGAGGCGCGAAAGCUAGGGGAGCGAACGGG